UUGGGGAUGAGGAGGUCUCCUCAGGAGUAACCGCGGGCCUGAGCCACGGUCACGCCACUGUCCUUCGUUUCCUUUAGCCUUCUCGCUCACCAAAAGAUUUUCCCGUCCAGUUAUAAAGUGCAAGUUGUUUCCCAAAGGGAUUACUCUUUGGAUCAACACCUGUAGGAAAUGAGCUGCGCUGCAUCCCAGCCGACCCCACAGCUGAGAUGGAGCAGUAGCAACCAGAUGUACCUUCCCCAGCUGAAACAACUAAAAAGACAAGACAAAAUAGAUGAAAGAAUGGUUCUUGAGACACUGGACACCACACAGUGAAGAACAGCGAUCCCUGGGAGAGGAGA
Long non-coding RNA from Dama dama (fallow deer), 338 nucleotides. RefSeq lists it as uncharacterized. The transcript has 3 exons. NCBI's taxonomy places the organism in Eukaryota, Metazoa, Chordata, Mammalia, Artiodactyla, Cervidae. The record is from RefSeq and is a predicted model, not a curated record.